GUGUCAGCAGCCGCGGUAAUACGUAGGGGGCGAGCGUUGUCCGGAUUCAUUGGGCGUAAAGAGCUCGUAGGCGGUUCGCUAAGUCAGGUGUGAAAUCUCCGCGCUCAACGCGGAGGGGCCACCUGAUACUGGCGUGACUCGAGUCCGGUAGGGGAGUGUGGAAUUCCCGGUGUAGCGGUGAAAUGCGCAGAUAUCGGGAGGAACACCAGUGGCGAAGGCGGCACUCUGGGCCGGAACUGACGCUGAGGAGCGAAAGCGUGGGUAGCAAACAGGAUUAGAUACCCGAGUAGUCC
This 293-nucleotide ribosomal RNA is filed under the name uncultured bacterium. RNAcentral describes it as "partial 16S ribosomal RNA". It matches the Rfam family "Bacterial small subunit ribosomal RNA", at positions 505 to 796 of the family's 1533-position model. The record is from RNAcentral.